AACUUUAUAAUAUAAUAUAUAAUACGUCGGCUAUUAUAUUAAAAGCGUAGGUUCGAUUCUUACUAAAGUUC
RNAcentral lists this transfer RNA (71 nucleotides) under Podospora anserina S mat+. It matches the Rfam family "tRNA". From Rfam's summary of the family: Transfer RNA (tRNA) molecules are approximately 80 nucleotides in length. Their secondary structure includes four short double-helical elements and three loops (D, anti-codon, and T loops). Lineage: Eukaryota; Fungi; Ascomycota; Sordariomycetes; Sordariales; Podosporaceae. The record is from Rfam by way of RNAcentral.